Saimiri boliviensis boliviensis (Bolivian squirrel monkey) is the source of this 395-nucleotide non-coding RNA. The record is from RefSeq and is a predicted model, not a curated record. NCBI's taxonomy places the organism in Eukaryota, Metazoa, Chordata, Mammalia, Primates, Cebidae.
GCACGGCGCAUGGAAGCUAACAUGGCGCGAGCUCGUCCCUCCGCGCACGGUCCGCUUUCCUGAAGGACGCAACCCGGAUGCUUGCAGCUGGUCACCACGACCCCGACCCCGACUCCCGGCCGCUGCCUCCGCGGGUCUGCGCUGGCUGCCAUAGCAAGCUGGAGGACGCGCCCUGCCGCGCAGGAAGUGACCCGCUCGCCGCCCCGCCCCGCGGCCGCAACCAGUCUUUCCCUGCGCUGGCGCGGAAAUCAAAGCUGGAGAACUUCGGUGUCUCGGGUUGGCCGUGGUGCGUAAUACCCCAAGGAGGGCAUUCAGCUUUCCUAAUGGCGGUUUUCCUUCCCAAGGGCAGCGCUUCCCAAGUUUCGCUUUAGGAGUAAGAUGGUAUAUCACUGUGG